UAUUUCUGCCAUUACCAUAGU
This 21-nucleotide non-coding RNA is filed under the name Caenorhabditis elegans. Lineage: Eukaryota; Metazoa; Nematoda; Chromadorea; Rhabditida; Rhabditidae. The record is from RNAcentral.